CCCGUACUUGGUGUUACUGCGAAGGGGGGACGGAGAAGGCUAUGUUGGCCGGGCGACGGUUGUCCCGGUUUAAGCGUGUAGGUGUGUGUUCCAGGUAAAUCCGGUUCACUUUAACACUGAGGCGUGAUGACGAGGCACUACGGUGCUGAAGCAACAAAUGCCCUGCUUCCAGGAAAAGCCUCUAAGCAUCAGGUAACAUCAAAUCGUACCCCAAACCGACACAGGUGGUCAGGUAGAGAAUACCAAGGCGCUUGAGAGAACUCGGGUGAAGGAACUAGGCAAAAUGGUGCCGUAACUUCGGGAGAAGGCACGCUGACACGUAGGUGAAGUGAUUUACUCAUGGAGCUGAAGUCAGUCGAAGAUACCAGCUGGCUGCAACUGUUUAUUAAAAACACAGCACUGUGCAAACACGAAAGUGGACGUAUACGGUGUGACGCCUGCCCGGUGCCGGAAGGUUAAUUGAUGGGGUCAGCGCAAGCGAAGCUCCUGAUCGAAGCCCCGGUAAACGGCGGCCGUAACUAUAACGGUCCUAAGGUAGCGAAAUUCCUUGUCGGGUAAGUUCCGACCUGCACGAAUGGCGUAAUGAUGGCCAGGCUGUCUCCACCCGAGACUCAGUGAAAUUGAACUCGCUGUGAAGAUGCAGUGUACCCGCGGCAAGACGGAAAGACCCCGUGAACCUUUACUAUAGCUUGACACUGAACAUUGAGCCUUGAUGUGUAGGAUAGGUGGGAGGCUUUGAAGUGUGGACGCCAGUCUGCAUGGAGCCGACCUUGAAAUACCACCCUUUAAUGUUUGAUGUUCUAACGUGGACCCGUAAUCCGGGUUGCGGACAGUGUCUGGUGGGUAGUUUGACUGGGGCGGUCUCCUCCUAAAGAGUAACGGAGGAGCACGAAGGUUGGCUAAUCCUGGUCGGACAUCAGGAGGUUAGUGCAAUGGCAUAAGCCAGCUUGACUGCGAGCGUGACGGCGCGAGCAGGUGCGAAAGCAGGUCAUAGUGAUCCGGUGGUUCUGAAUGGAAGGGCCAUCGCUCAACGGAUAAAAGGUACUCCGGGGAUAACAGGCUGAUACCGCCCAAGAGUUCAUAUCGACGGCGGUGUUUGGCACCUCGAUGUCGGCUCAUCACAUCCUGGGGCUGAAGUAGGUCCCAAGGGUAUGGCUGUUCGCCAUUUAAAGUGGUACGCGAGCUGGGUUUAGAACGUCGUGAGACAGUUCGGUCCCUAUCUGCCGUGGGCGCUGGAGAACUGAGGGGGGCUGCUCCUAGUACGAGAGGACCGGAGUGGACGCAUCACUGGUGUUCGGGUUGUCAUGCCAAUGGCACUGCCCGGUAGCUAAAUGCGGAAGAGAUAAGUGCUGAAAGCAUCUAAGCACGAAACUUGCCCCGAGAUGAGUUCUCCCUGAGACUUUAGGUCUCCUGAAGGAACGUUGAAGACGACGACGUUGAUAGGCCGGGUGUGUAAGCGCAGCGAU
Molecule: ribosomal RNA, 1466 nt
Filed under: Salmonella enterica subsp. enterica serovar Paratyphi B var. L(+) tartrate +
Lineage: Bacteria; Pseudomonadati; Pseudomonadota; Gammaproteobacteria; Enterobacterales; Enterobacteriaceae
Description: partial 23S ribosomal RNA
Rfam family: Bacterial large subunit ribosomal RNA
Source: RNAcentral